This 2326-nucleotide ribosomal RNA is filed under the name Legionella pneumophila. Its description in RNAcentral is "partial 23S ribosomal RNA". It matches the Rfam family "Bacterial large subunit ribosomal RNA", at positions 603 to 2925 of the family's 2925-position model. The record is from RNAcentral. RNAcentral also lists the same sequence under 1 other name. Lineage: Bacteria; Pseudomonadati; Pseudomonadota; Gammaproteobacteria; Legionellales; Legionellaceae.
ACCUUUUGUAUAAUGGGUCAGCGAGUUACUUUCAGUGGCGAGGUUAACUGAAUAAGGGAGCCGUAGAGAAAUCGAGUCUGAAUAGGGCGAUAGUCGCUGGGAGUAGACCCGAAACCGGGCGAUCUAGCCAUGUGCAGGAUGAAGGUUGGGUAACACCAACUGGAGGUCCGAACCGGGUAAUGUUGAAAAAUUAUCGGAUGACGUGUGGCUAGGAGUGAAAGGCUAAUCAAGCCCGGAGAUAGCUGGUUCUCCCCGAAAGCUAUUUAGGUAGCGCCUCGUGAAUGAUUACUGGGGGUAGAGCACUGUUUCGGCUAGGGGGCUGUCAUGGCUUACCAAACCGAUGCAAACUCCGAAUACCGGCUAAUUGGAUCACGGGAGACACACGGCGGGUGCUAACGUCCGUCGUGGAGAGGGAAACAACCCAGACCGCCAGCUAAGGUCCCCAAGUACUAGUUAAGUGGGAAACGAUGUGGGAAGGCAUAGACAGCCAGGAGGUUGGCUUAGAAGCAGCCACCCUUUAAAGAAAGCGUAAUAGCUCACUGGUCGAGUCGGCCUGCGCGGAAGAUGUAACGGGGCUAAAACUAGUCACCGAAGCUGCGGAUGUGCGCGAAGGCGCACGUGGUAGGGGAGCGUUCUGUAGGCUGAUGAAGGUGCAUUGAGAAGUGUGCUGGAGGUAUCAGAAGUGCGAAUGCUGACAUGAGUAACGAUAAUGUGGGUGAAAAGCCCACACGCCGGAAGUCCCAGGUUUCCUGCACGACGUUAAUCGGAGCAGGGUGAGUCGGCCCCUAAGGCGAGGCUGAAGAGCGUAGUCGAUGGGAACCAGGUUAAUAUUCCUGGACUUUUUAUAAGUGGUGAAGUGGGGACGAAGAAGGCUAGGUGAGCCAGGCGUUGGUUGUCCUGGUACUUGCAUGUAGGGGGGAAGACUUGGCAAAUCCGGUUUUCCAUAACUCUGAGGUGCGAAGUGGUUCUGACCUUUUGGUACAGAGAAGUCAUUGAUGCCCGGCUUCCAGGAAAAGCUGCUAGCCAUAACUUAUAGAGAACCGUACCGCAAACCGACACAGGUGGACAGGUAGAGAAUACUAAGGCGCUUGAGAGAACUCGGGUGAAGGAACUAGGCAAAAUGGUACCGUAACUUCGGGAGAAGGUACGCCCUUUUGGGUGAAGGCAUUUACUGUCUGAGCUUAAGAGGGCCGCAGAGACCAGGUGGCUGCGACUGUUUAUUAAAAACACAGCACUCUGCAAAUUCGUAAGAAGACGUAUAGGGUGUGACGCCUGCCCGGUGCCGGAAGGUUAAUUGAUGGGGUUAUCUUCGGAGAAGCUCUUGAUCGAAGCCCCGGUAAACGGCGGCCGUAACUAUAACGGUCCUAAGGUAGCGAAAUUCCUUGUCGGGUAAGUUCCGACCUGCACGAAUGGCGUAACGAUGGCCACACUGUCUCCACCCGAGACUCAGUGAAAUUGAAAUCGCUGUGAAGAUGCAGUGUACCCGCGGCUAGACGGAAAGACCCCGUGAACCUUUACUAUAGUUUUGCACUGGACUUUGAUGAUGACUGUGUAGGAUAGGUGGGAGGCUGUGAAGUGAGGACGCUAGUUCUCAUGGAGCCGCCCUUGAAAUACCACCCUGUUGUUAUUGAGGUUCUAACUUGGUCCAGUAAUCCUGGAUGAGGACAGUGUAUGAUGGGUAGUUUGACUGGGGCGGUCUCCUCCCAAAGAGUAACGGAGGAGCACAAAGGUACCCUCGGUACGGUCGGACAUCGUACCAAGAGUGUAAAGGCAAAAGGGUGCUUGACUGCGAGAGUGACGGCUCGAGCAGGAACGAAAGUUGGUCUUAGUGAUCCGGUGGUUCUGAAUGGAAGGGCCAUCGCUCAACGGAUAAAAGGUACUCCGGGGAUAACAGGCUGAUACCGCCCAAGAGUUCAUAUCGACGGCGGUGUUUGGCACCUCGAUGUCGGCUCAUCACAUCCUGGGGCUGAAGCAGGUCCCAAGGGUAUGGCUGUUCGCCAUUUAAAGUGGUACGCGAGCUGGGUUUAGAACGUCGUGAGACAGUUCGGUCCCUAUCUGCCGUGGGCGUAGGAAAAUUGAGAGGAGCUGCUCCUAGUACGAGAGGACCGGAGUGGACGAACCUCUGGUGCACCGGUUGUCACGCCAGUGGCAUGGCCGGGUAGCUAAGUUCGGACGGGAUAACCGCUGAAAGCAUCUAAGCGGGAAGCCUCCCUCAAGAUGAGUUUUCCCAUGAAGCCCGUUGAAGACUACGACGUUGAUAGGCAAGGUGUGGAAGCGCAGUAAUGCGUGAAGCUAACUUGUACUAAUUGGCUGAUUGUCUUGACCA